UCCCAAGGUGCGAUUGUGAGCGCGAAUUGUUGGUCGUCUAUGUGCGCCAUGCGAUCGGCUGGCAACCAGUUGACGGCAUUCAUAAAAUGGGCCAAAAGGAAAAAGCUCCUGUGGCAAAUCGGUUUCCGUCUGCCAGAACUUCUUGAUGAGUCUGAUUUUUUUCAGCAAAUUCUAUAUCCGAUAUUGUUUGAGUGUGUAAAAAUGGGUCUUCCGAUUGUUGUUGGAACAUUUCAGGUCUUGUUUUAAGUUUUACGAUGUGCCAGUUAUUUUUAUUUAUUUUUUGCAAUUCUUGAAUUAUCUGUUUAGUUAAUCAAGGACUUGACUUGGUUAAUGCUCAAUAAAGUAAAAUAAAAGUUAUGAAAGUGGAGAGGAGAAACAAUUUUGUACUUUUUUAUUAGUUGCAAAAUCCAGUGUGACAUCAGAUGAAAUGCCAGCGUUGUAUAUUAUAAACCAUAAUUACUUCAUGUUUUGCUAAUUGGUUCUCAUUUGAAAACUGGGAAAAACUCAACGUCAUUUUGAUUUUGUGGAAAUUUUGUGGCGCAAGUUAUACAGUACAGUAUAUGCCUUCCAAGUUUUUUUUUUAAACUGAACCCAAUGAGAAAAACAGCGUCUUUCCCCAUGGAAAACUGUGGAACACAUCGCCAUCUACAGACGAAAGAAAGCUCAUCUGCGGAGCUCACCCCUCAUGAACCGCACGGAAAAUGGACAAAGCGUCCGUGCUUUUGUGUGCGUGUUUGUAUCUCUGCCCCCUCCCUACUGUCGUGCGCAUGUACUCUGCAAGACAACAAAUUCGAGCCGCUCCGGUUCCUGGUAAUGUGCGGAAGGUCAUUGUUCGAGUUCGACUCGUGAUCAACUUGAAAACGAGAAGAACCUGCUGGCUCAGUACGACGACCUCAUUCGUGGCCAGUUUGAGAUGCGCCUAGCGUGUCACAAUGACAAUGUUAAAGAAGACGUACAUUUUCCACCCGCAAUUUAAAGCGACUUCUUGGUGUUUUAAUAACAUGACUGUGACAUGCUUGUUGGAGCGUGGAAAAAAAAAAGCAAGCAUCAUGAAAGACAACAAAAGCAUUUUAAUCAUGGCGCCAGCUCUUCGUAAACAUGACAUUGAUUAUGUUACAAAAAGUAAAGAACAACCUAAAAAAAACUUGUCCGAGAUAAAAUAAUCAACACGUUCAACAUUUUAUAUUUAUCGGUUCGUACCAGGUAAUAAAUAAAUAAAUACAAAAAAAACAACUCUCAUAAUAAUGUAGGGCAAGCCCCGCCUCUCCGAGUCAGCUGGUGCACAGAAAAAAAGAAUCCUCUAUACAGUAUUUACUUAAUUCGAACAUGUCGGUUGCAUGUGAUUAAAAUGUGGUAAACGGCUAUAAUUUUCACAUCUUCUCAAAAAUUAUCAAAUGAUAUAUGCCAAUCGGUAAAAAAAAUGGAUGGAUGUUGCUUUAACAUGUUCAUGUGCUGCCCAGACACCUUGAGAACUUGAGCGACAAACAUGAAAAGGAAGAUGGCAUCUUCCAUGUGUUUGUUAUUGUCGAAGUGAGCGUUUCAACCGUGCGUGAACCGCAAACUGGACACACAAGUUACUCAGGGUGUCUUUAUUCGCUGGCCAAGGGUUUCACAGGUUGAUAGUGAGAAUCGUUCUUCAAAUUGGGGGGAAGUCAUCUGUUCAAUGCCACAAAAUAAUAUAAUCAAAGGUUCAAAAACUUGAGUGAGAGCCAAGUCAGCAGCGUCAUGGUGUGUGUCACUGUUAUGACUUUUUCACCCUACUGCUCCUUUGCAAACUCAACACAG
This is a long non-coding RNA of Hippocampus comes (tiger tail seahorse), 1785 nucleotides long. RefSeq lists it as uncharacterized. Lineage: Eukaryota; Metazoa; Chordata; Actinopteri; Syngnathiformes; Syngnathidae. The record is from RefSeq and is a predicted model, not a curated record. The transcript has 2 exons.